RNAcentral lists this transfer RNA (73 nucleotides) under Methanosarcinaceae archaeon. RNAcentral's name for it is "tRNA-Asn". It matches the Rfam family "tRNA". Rfam says of the family: Transfer RNA (tRNA) molecules are approximately 80 nucleotides in length. Their secondary structure includes four short double-helical elements and three loops (D, anti-codon, and T loops). Lineage: Archaea; Methanobacteriati; Methanobacteriota; Methanomicrobia; Methanosarcinales; Methanosarcinaceae. The record is from RNAcentral.
GCCGCCUUAACUCAGUAGGUAGAGUGGCUGGCUGUUAACCAGCAUGUCACAGGUUCGAGUCCUGUAGGCGGCG